UCCAGGCGUCGAGUGGCGGACGGGUGAGUAACGCGUAGGAAUCUGCCAGAUAGUGGGGGAUAGCCCGGAGAAAUCCGGAUUAAUACCGCAUAAUCUCCAUGGAGUAAAGAGGGCCUCUAUUUAUAAGCUUUCGCUAUCUGAUGAGCCUGCGUAAGAUUAGCUAGUUGGUGGGGUAAUGGCCUACCAAGGCGACGAUCUUUAGCUGGUCUGAGAGGAUGAUCAGCCACACUGGGACUGAGACACGGCCCAGACUCCUACGGGAGGCAGCAGUGGGGAAUAUUGGACAAUGGGGGCAACCCUGAUCCAGCAAUACCGCGUGUGUGAAGAAGGCCUGAGGGUUGUAAAGCACUUUCAAUUGUGAAGAAAAGUUAAUAGUUAAUACCUAUUAGCCUUGACGUUAACUUUAGAAGAAGCACCGGCCAACUCCGUGCCAGCAGCCGCGGUAAUACGGAGGGUGCAAGCGUUAAUCGGAAUUACUGGGCGUAAAGCGUGCGUAGGCGGUUGACUAAGUCAGAUGUGAAAGCCCCGGGCUUAACCUGGGAACUGCAUUUGAAACUGGUCAACUAGAGUAUGGUAGAGGAAAGUGGAAUUUCUGGUGUAGCGGUGAAAUGCGUAGAUAUCAGAAGGAACAUCGAUGGCGAAGGCAGCUUUCUGGACCAAUACUGACGCUGAGGUACGAAAGCGUGGGUAGCAAACAGGAUUAGAUACCCUGGGUAGUCCACGC
This 724-nucleotide ribosomal RNA is filed under the name uncultured bacterium. Its description in RNAcentral is "bacterial SSU rRNA". It matches the Rfam family "Bacterial small subunit ribosomal RNA", at positions 83 to 800 of the family's 1533-position model. The record is from RNAcentral.